Molecule: long non-coding RNA, 752 nt
Organism: Spinacia oleracea (spinach)
Lineage: Eukaryota; Viridiplantae; Streptophyta; Magnoliopsida; Caryophyllales; Amaranthaceae
Exons: 3
Source: RefSeq, a predicted model, not a curated record
CCUCAACCAUGCUUUCUCAUUCACUCCCUCCAAUCAUAUUCUCCACAUUUACAAAAUUCAAAAUUAUAACAAAAUAUCUAUUAUGAAGUUAACUGUAGAACACAACCCACAUUCCCCUCCCUUACCUAACCGUCAAAAAAAAAACUCAUCUAUUUCCUCUCUACCCGCCUCCAUCAAAGAAUAACAUUCAUCAAUCGAUCACCACCGUCACCGAUCUUCUUGCUGGCAAACAAUCCGUGUCAUCGUUGUGUUGCCACCGCAACUGCCUUCGAGUGCUUGUCAGAGCAACAUGAAGCGAGUAUACAGAGCAAGCAGGAGGCUUCUAUGCGAAGAGAAAGAGCAUUAGCUUACGCAUUCACUUAUCAGUGCCUCCAUUCAAGAAUUAAGAAACUUGCUACAACCCUGAUGCGUGACCAGAGUGUUGAAACAGGCCCCCAUUCGCCUGAUCUCCUAGACAAACAACUGGGUUUUCUCACUCGAGUCGUUUUGGAUACUGCUCCUCUUGGUUCAAACUUUGGAGAUUGCAGCACUGAGUGUUUUUUUCCCGAUCAGCCUGCCCGAGAAAUGAGAAAAAAGACUAUAUAAUUAGGCACAUUGCGGGCUUAUAAACGAGUGAACACUCUACUCUUUACAAUUUCUUUUUCAUGUAAAGACAUUCGUAUAUAUCCGUAUAUUGUUGCACUUUAUUGUUAAUAGAGACAUGUCAAAAUUUGUUGUAUAUGAAUGUUAUGAACAUUUUUUCUUACCUAAUA